This 345-nucleotide unclassified non-coding RNA is filed under the name Basidiomycota sp. RNAcentral's name for it is "partial contains small subunit ribosomal RNA, internal transcribed spacer 1, and 5.8S ribosomal RNA". The stretch from base 1 to 47 matches the Rfam family "Eukaryotic small subunit ribosomal RNA", at positions 1785 to 1831 of the family's 1831-position model. The record is from RNAcentral. Lineage: Eukaryota; Fungi; Basidiomycota.
AAAGUCGUAACAAGGUUUCCGUAGGUGAACCUGCGGAAGGAUCAUUGGUGUAAAGCUUCAACUUUCACCUCCUUUUAACCUCUUGUGUGAACCUUUUAAUUUGGCAUGUGCCUGGCAAAGUCGUUUAGGUGCAGGCUCUGGUCUGCUAACAACCUAGCGAGGUCGCCUAGGCCGUCUCUUCGGAGGCGGUAGCCUUGUAGCCUUAAUGACCUGCUCGCAAGAGCGGAUACAUACUGUACAAGCGCAGGCAUGCCGUAGCUUUAACGCUAAAACUUUAAACUUUACAUUCAGUUUCUGAGGGCUUUUAUUUUAGUACAACCUUUAACAAUGGAUCUCUUGGCUCCU